CUUUUUAUAAUCAGUCAGCCCCUCUGCUUUCUGUGUCCACAAACUCUUCUUGCCAAAUUCAUCUGGUGAGGAAACUAAUGGACAACGGAAACAUUCCUCUGACUGUCCUGCUUCACGUCCUGCCUGCUGCAUAUCAGCAUGAGAGUACUCUCGGUUUCUAAAACUGAGCUGCCUCGUUAUUAACAGGCUCAUUUACCAGGACACUGAGCUAGCAAAUCAGAUGCACACAACUUGCCUGUCUGUGCUGUCUCCAAACUCUGCCUUCCUGCAGGAUGUGCUCUUCCCUCCAAGGUCAAUGCAGGUAACUUACUGUAUUUGUGGUGCAAUCUGAAAGAGAAGCUUUGUGAUUGCUAAAAAGAGAAACGUCUUAUCUGGGAGCCAGCAGAUUGUAACUGGAAGAAGCACACCGGUGUGAGUGUGAUGGGCGUGUGGUUGCCAUUUCAGCACUUUCUCGUUGUGGGGCUGAUGAAGGCAGAGCCGAGGUGAGGCCCAUGCAGGCAGCAGACAUGGGGAUGGGAGGAUGGAGCUGAGGAAGGGGACACUGCAGUGAAGCACAAGUUGGAUAGUGGGCUUCAGGGAGAAGAGCGGCAGUGGCAAAGAGCAGGGCCAAGCUGGAAAAGAUCAGAUAGCCUCAAUUUUAAAUAGUGGUUAGUUAUGCAUUGGGUUAUUUUGUCAAUGAAGAAGUUGUAUGAACUUCUAUGACAUAAAAAAAUGCACAUUUUUAGCAAAGUCUCAACAUGACUUGCAUAGCACUUUAAAAAACAAAGUUUAUAUUUUAAAGAGAAAUACUUAAGCAGCCUGAACCAAUGUGUAUGACCUGUGAGCAAAAAGGAGCUCAUGCUGUUAGAGUACUUAAAUACUGAAUCAUUUCUCAUAUUCUGUGCCAGAUGAUCAUUCAAAUCUAUAGAAGUUGUACCAGUAUGAUCUGAUACAUCAAGAGGCAAGCGGGUUACCUCAGUAAUCCUGAUCUUAUCAGAAUACAGAAGCUAUGGUAUCGCCUCGUUCUAUCUGGCCGCCUUAUUGUUAAUAGCCUCCUCUGCCCAGGCAGCUGCGCCUGUGAGAGAAGAACAACAUGUUCCCUCCAGGACAGAGCGUGGAGUUAUUUCAUGUCCAAGGAGAGAUAAAACGCAAGCUGCUCUAAAGGCACUUCCAAAUCGCCCUGUAAAAGGAAACUGCAGAGAGACAAGCUGCUGGCAAGACGAGAGAUCAAAGGGUUAUGUAAAGGACUUACUGACCACGCUUCUCUUUCAUCGGGCCAGAUUGUGCAACCUGCCAGGUGCAGAAUACUUGCCGUUUCUAAGGGGUGAGCGAGUAUUACAGAUACGUGAGGAGCGGAUAUCUUCAUUGAAACAACACAGAAAGGAAAGUGGUUUUGCACUGAGCUGCGAAGCGGGAGGGAACAGGUGGCAGAUGGAGAUAUUUCGGAGGGCUGCUCUGACACUUUGUAGCAUGCCAGCGAAAAGAAUUUAAGCUUCGUUGUUAUAAGAGUUGGUAAUUCGCUUUUUCUUCCUUUUUAUUCACAAUUUCCAAAAUGGAAUAAACAAGGAAAAUAGUCAGGUGACA
This 1563-nucleotide long non-coding RNA is filed under the name Struthio camelus australis. RNAcentral describes it as "lncRNA (ENSSCUG00000009082.1)". The record is from RNAcentral. Lineage: Eukaryota; Metazoa; Chordata; Aves; Struthioniformes; Struthionidae.